AAUGAGAGUUUGAUCCUGGCUCAGGACGAACGCUGGCGGCGUGCCUAAUACAUGCAAGUAGAACGCUGAUGUUUGGUGUUUACACUAGACUGAUGAGUUGCGAACGGGUGAGUAACGCGUAGGUACCCUGCCUCAUAGCGGGGGAUAACUAUUGGAAACGAUAGCUAAUACCGCAUAAGAGUAAUUAACACAUGUUAGUUAUUUAAAAGGAGCAAUUGCUUCACUGUGAGAUGGACCUGCGUUGUAUUAGCUAGUUGGUGAGGUAAAGGCUCACCAAGGCGACGAUACAUAGCCGACCUGAGAGGGUGAUCGGCCACACUGGGACUGAGACACGGCCCAGACUCCUACGGGAGGCAGCAGUAGGGAAUCUUCGGCAAUGGACGGAAGUCUGACCGAGCAACGCCGCGUGAGUGAAGAAGGUUUUCGGAUCGUAAAGCUCUGUUGUUAGAGAAGAACGUUGGUAGGAGUGGAAAAUCUACCAAGUGACGGUAACUAACCAGAAAGGGACGGCUAACUACGUGCCAGCAGCCGCGGUAAUACGUAGGUCCCGAGCGUUGUCCGGAUUUAUUGGGCGUAAAGCGAGCGCAGGCGGUUCUUUAAGUCUGAAGUUAAAGGCAGUGGCUUAACCAUUGUACGCUUUGGAAACUGGAGGACUUGAGUGCAGAAGGGGAGAGUGGAAUUCCAUGUGUA
RNAcentral lists this ribosomal RNA (690 nucleotides) under Streptococcus agalactiae GB00219. RNAcentral's name for it is "bacterial SSU rRNA". It matches the Rfam family "Bacterial small subunit ribosomal RNA", at positions 1 to 677 of the family's 1533-position model. Lineage: Bacteria; Bacillati; Bacillota; Bacilli; Lactobacillales; Streptococcaceae. The record is from RNAcentral.